This 981-nucleotide ribosomal RNA is filed under the name Triticum aestivum (bread wheat). RNAcentral describes it as "partial small subunit ribosomal RNA". The record is from RNAcentral. Lineage: Eukaryota; Viridiplantae; Streptophyta; Magnoliopsida; Poales; Poaceae.
AUGAGCUCCUCCCUUCUUCUCUGCUCCAUUCUUCCCUUGCUCUCCCCUUCCCCUGAUCUCUCUCCCUCGUUCUGUCAUGCAGGUGUCCUCCCGAGCGCCAUGGACAGGAGCCCCGCCAUGGAUCUCCAAGUCCGCGGCUGCGUUGUCCCACAGCCCCCUCGUCGUCGUCCCCAUAGCCAAGUCCCGCGCUUCCCCUACAUCCAGCAACGGCAAGUCAGCCGCACAGCUUGUCGCUGCAUCCCCAGCCCCGCGGUGGACUCCUAUGCUUCGAGCCUCGCCCCUGCGCCGUCUUCCCCGCGCGCCACAGGAGACAGGAGACCGGACACCACCCCGGCAAGCUCUAUCGCCUCCCAUCGCUCCAACUUCGCCGAAGUACCCAACAAGGCUGACCCUUCUGAAGUUCGUCGCGCCGCCCUGCCAGGACGUGCCCUCGCCGUCUCCUUCCUCUCCGCCACAAGAGCUGACCUCCAUGGCGAUGUCGGCCUCGAGCUCGAUGGUCCCGCCACCGCCGUGAACGGACCCUACCUCGGAUCUGCCUCCUCCUCCACCCGUCGUCCCCAUCUGCGGGCUCCCCUGCAUCGGCCGCUGCCUCCCCUGCUUCUACGUGCGAGCACGCGGGGACGAGGACGACCAGCGCCCGCGUUGACUUCCCGGUCCGAAGCCGCUAGCCAGCUUAGUCCCUCCCUCAAGGCCCAGCUCUGCGCUCAAACUCUAGUCCGCCUCCGGCCUCAUCCACUUACUGGGCUUGGCCCAUGGCUUCGGUUUUGGUCCAGAGUUGUGAGGAUUCGUUCGACUAUGUCCGUUUUCCUUCUUCAUGGACUCGUUCUUCUUCCUUGCGGGAUCUCAGUUGCAGGUGCCGAUGAUAGCAGUGCAGAUGACGCAACCGAGCUCAAGUGGGAGCUCGAUGAAGACUUGUUCGUUGUGUUGUUUCGUUUCCUAUUGAUCAGUAGUGGAGCCCAGUUGGGACGAUCGGGGAUCUAG